RNAcentral lists this ribosomal RNA (444 nucleotides) under uncultured bacterium. RNAcentral describes it as "bacterial SSU rRNA". It matches the Rfam family "Bacterial small subunit ribosomal RNA", at positions 330 to 792 of the family's 1533-position model. The record is from RNAcentral.
UCCAGACUCCUACGGGAGGCAGCAGUGGGGGAUAUUGCACAAUGGGGGAAACCCUGAUGCAGCGACGCCGCGUGUGGGAAGACGGUCCUCUGGAUUGUAAACCACUGUCCCCAGGGACGAAGAUGACGGUACCUGGGGAGGAAGCCCGGCUAACUACGUGCCAGCAGCCGCGGUAAUACGUAGGGGGCAAGCGUUAUCCGGAUUUAUUGGGUUUAAAGGGUGCGUAGGCGGGAUGCCAAGUCAGCGGUAAAAAUGCGGUGCUCAACGCCGUCGAGCCGUUGAAACUGGCGUUCUUGAGUGGGCGAGAAGUAUGCGGAAUGCGUGGUGUAGCGGUGAAAUGCAUAGAUAUCACGCAGAACUCCAAUUGCGAAGGCAGCAUACCGGCGCCCUACUGACGCUGAGGCACGAAAGCGUGGGUAUCGAACAGGAUUAGAUACCCUCGUA